This 60-nucleotide small nuclear RNA is filed under the name Microcebus murinus (gray mouse lemur). Its description in RNAcentral is "U7 small nuclear RNA (ENSMICG00000024837.3)". It matches the Rfam family "U7 small nuclear RNA". From Rfam's summary of the family: Animal histone pre-mRNAs are spliced by a different mechanism than nuclear pre-mRNAs and self-splicing introns. This processing involves the U7 snRNP, which contains only one RNA species: U7. The record is from Rfam by way of RNAcentral. Lineage: Eukaryota; Metazoa; Chordata; Mammalia; Primates; Cheirogaleidae.
UAGGGUUACACCUUUUAGAAUUUUCUAGCAGGUUUUCCAGUUCUUGCUGGAAGAGCCACA